AACACAUGCAAGUCGAACGGGAUCACAGGUUAGCAAUAACUCUGUGGUGUAGUGGCGCACGGGUGAGUAACACGUGGGUAACCUGCCCUUGAGACUGGGAUACCCCCUCGAAAGGGGGGCUAAUACCGGAUACGUUCCUUGGAUCGAAAGGUCUGGGGAGGAAAGGUGGCGAAAGCUGCCGCUCUUGGAGGGGCUCGCGGCCUAUCAGCUAGUUGGCGGGGUAACGGCCCACCAAGGCUAUGACGGGUAGCUGGUCUGAGAGGACGACCAGCCACACGGGGACUGAGACACGGCCCCGACUCCUACGGGAGGCAGCAGUGGGGAAUUUUCCGCAAUGGGCGAAAGCCUGACGGAGUGACGCCGCGUGUGGGACGAAGGCCUCGGGUCGUAAACCACUGUCAGUGGGAAAGAUGGGUGUCGGCGCGAUAACCGCCGGCAUUGACGUACCUGCAGAGGAA
RNAcentral lists this ribosomal RNA (458 nucleotides) under grassland soil clone sl1_004. Its description in RNAcentral is "bacterial SSU rRNA". It matches the Rfam family "Bacterial small subunit ribosomal RNA", at positions 50 to 489 of the family's 1533-position model. The record is from RNAcentral.